Molecule: long non-coding RNA, 758 nt
Organism: Ictalurus punctatus (channel catfish)
Lineage: Eukaryota; Metazoa; Chordata; Actinopteri; Siluriformes; Ictaluridae
Exons: 2
Source: RefSeq, a predicted model, not a curated record
UGUGUGUGUGUGUGUGUGUGUAUGUGUAUGUGUAUAUGUGUGUGUGUGUGUGUGUGUGUGUGUGUAUGUGUAUGUGUGUGUUAGGCAUAUCCUCAUCUCUAAAACUCUUUAUUGACACAAACUGCCUAAUUUUGACAGUGGAAAUACAUUUCAGCGGUUUGUCUCACAUAUGUUUUUUGUCAUUUGGGGCGGAGUCAAUGCAAAUUUCUCUUAAUAAAGAGACACAGACUUCAUGAAAAUGAAUACCACUGAAGGACAGGGAUUAAAUUUGCCACCAGAAUUCGCUCAUUCGUUAGGUUUUAUUACACCACAGUGCUGUUGGAUUCUCCAAUCACAUUACAUUGUGUGUACAUUGUGUGUGUGUGUGUGUGUGUGUGUGUGUGUGUGUGUGUGUAGGUGUGUGUGUGGGUGUAGGUGUGUUAGAGUAGAUACAGUAUUGUGUGUGUGUGUGUGUGUGUGUGUGUGUGUGUGUGUGUGUGUGUGUGUGUGUGGGUGUAGGUGUGUUAGAGUAGAUACAGUAUUGUGUGUGUGUGGGUGUAGGUGUGUGUGUGGGUGUAGGUGUGUUAGAGUAGAUACAGUAUUGUGUGUGUGUGUGUGUGUGUGUGUGUGUGUGUGUGUGGGUGUAGGUGUGUUAGAGUAGAUACAGUAUUGUGUGUGUGUGUGUGUGUGUGUGUGUGUGUGGGUGUGUGUGUGUGUGUGUGUGGGUGUAGGUGUGUUAGAGUAGAUACAGUAUUGUGUGUGUGUGUGUGUGUGUGUGG